AGUGACCAUGGGAAUGAAGUCCUGCGAGAAAUGUAAUGUUCCCAACAAUGCCUGCAGGGAUGGUUGGCUGAUCUCCUCCAGCAGACUUUAAACGAGGCUCCUCAGGGGAAGGGGAAGAUUAGGAUGGAGGGAACCACAGAACACUGAACCAAGCGCCACCUACAAGAACAGCCCAGCCAAGAUGGGCAAUGAGCACAAGAAAUCCCCAGGUAGAUCCCUACAUCCAUGGGUCUGGGGAAUAUGGAUCCAACCAAAUGUCUUCAUCCCAGUUACAAGGCUUCUUUAAACCAGCUGUGACAGCCGCCCAGCUUCUCCUGCAACUGCACCUGAAGGCUGUUCAUGGGUCCCAUGCUUGGAGAUUUUUAUCCCAGCAGGAAUCUCCUGUGGAGCUACAGCUGGGAGAUAAGGACCACCCGGCCUGGGACCUGUGACUGUAGGACUCAGACUGUAAUGACUCUGAAACUCAUGCUAAGCUUGGGCCUACUCACAAAAGUUAAAAUGCAGAAUAAUAAUGCUAACUUCAUAUUGCAAGAGGAUGCAAGUUCAUGGCUAGGCCAUCUAAGAAGGAAUAAUGAACUAUCUCUUCCAGCUUAUUUUGCUGUAUUCAGAAUGAUUUCAAGCAGACUCUUAGUCGUCUGGUGUGUAACCAUAUGAAAUAUCUAUCCUUUAUUAAUUAUUAUGGUAAAUAUUUCUUUUGUGAGUAACUCAUGUUUAUAUGCAGGAAGAGACAUUCUCCAUAUGUAAUAGAUGUCUCCUCCUGAUUUAGUAUGUUAUUCCUGGCUGUUAAUCAGUUUCUCGAUAUGUUUCAAACUGGAUAACCUCUUCUUACCGAAGAAAGUAACUCAUUCAAAUUAAAAAUUUUUGAUAGCCAGUAAUGAGCAGGUUUUUCCUGUCAAUUACUGCUUGGGAUUCUUUCUUGAUUUUCACAAUUAAAAUAAUGCUUUGAAGAUGCUAAACAAAAGGUAUAAAAGGCAGUAAAACAGCAAACAGCGCACAUGCUUCAAGAGUGAGAAAUCUCUCUGACACCAGUUGCUGAUGUGCCCUACUUACUUGAGAAGUUGAAGAGAAACAGACUGCCUCUUUGUUGCCUGUUUGGUGAGAAAUCAUCACCUUUAUAGCUAAUUACUGGACUUUGAUUUGGUUUGGGAUCACUUGACUUGAUUUUAAAUACUUGUAGUAAAUAAAGCCUUUCUGU
Alligator mississippiensis (American alligator) is the source of this 1195-nucleotide long non-coding RNA. RefSeq lists it as uncharacterized. The transcript has 3 exons. Lineage: Eukaryota; Metazoa; Chordata; Crocodylia; Alligatoridae. The record is from RefSeq and is a predicted model, not a curated record.